GUUCACUAGGCAAUGUGGUGUUCAGGUUGUUCCGCAAAGGUACUGCUCCACCCUAAGUCCAUAAAUGAGUACGGUGGUACGGACAUGGCCCACAGAGGGUGAAAGGCCCGUGGGGGUGGAGACCAGGUAGGCCAGUAUCUUUCUGGAUAGACCUUGGAGUCGGGUUGUUUGUGAAUGCAGCCCAAAGUGGGUGGUAAACUCCAUCCAAGGCUAAAUACAAGCACGAGUCCGAUAGCGAACAAGUACCGUGAGGGAAAGUUGAAAAGUACUUUGAAGAGAGAGUAAACAGUGCGUGAAACCGGUCAGAGGUAAACGGGUGGAGUUGAACUGCAAGCUCUGGGAAUUCAGCUGGUGAGUGUGGCUGGAGCUUGGCUAAUAUGUUGAGCCCUGGAGUCUGCGUAGCAGCAGGCCUUUGCCCCUUGUGGGUGAGGGUGCGCGAUGCACUUACCAAGUGUUGUGCGCUCUGGGUGUUCAUCGAGCUGACUCGCCAGUGCACUUUCUCAGAGUGGUCAUCACGACCGGCACCGCUGUCUGGCUGGUGUGGUUAAACCGAUCUCGUAUUGUCCUUGUGGCUCUGCUUGGUCGGGAUGGCAGGUAGCUCGGUGAUUUGCCUGUGAUCUUCGGUCGCGGGCGCUGGUCAUUGAGUGUAACUGGCUGACCACAUUGGUUCUGUGCAGUGUGUCGGAGACGGCGGCUUUUGUGUGUGCGCGCGUGCCUGUCUGGCCGGCGUGUCCGGGUUUGGUCGUUUGUGCCUGUUCACGCAGGCCUGGCGAUGGCUCGGGUUCGUUCGGUUGGCGGUUGCGUGCGUGGCACA
Molecule: ribosomal RNA, 814 nt
Filed under: Langeronia macrocirra
Lineage: Eukaryota; Metazoa; Platyhelminthes; Trematoda; Plagiorchiida; Pleurogenidae
Description: partial large subunit ribosomal RNA
Rfam family: Eukaryotic large subunit ribosomal RNA
Source: RNAcentral